CGUUCUUUUUCUCAUUCUUUCUUGAUGUUCUUUUCUCUAUCAUCCUUUUGUUGAUGUUCUUCGAUGUCUGGGUGAGCCUCUUUCCUCCCAGAAGAGACCCACCCAGAAUUUUGGCGAUGUUAGUGAGGGCCGAAAGGUGGAUGAUGUUUCUUUGUAUUUUUCUUUUCUUGAUGUUGUUCUUUUAUUGCAGUUACUUUUCUUUUCCGAUGUUUUUUUCUGUUCUUUUUUCUUUUCCAUAUUUUCUAGAUGUUCUUUUCUAUAUCAUCCUUUUGUUGAUGUUCUUUGGUCUGGAUGAGCCUUUUUCUCCCCAGAAGAGACCCACCCAGAAUUUUGGUGAUGUUAGUCAGGGCCUGAAGGUGGAUGAUGUGUGUUUGCUUUUUCUUUUCUCGAUGUUUCGUUUCUAUAUUUUCCUUUUUCUGGUGUUCUCUUUCCUUUUCCUUUUCUUUGGUGUUCCCAUCACGUGGAUUGUCUACGACAUCUAACGGGCACCACAAGCCCGGGUUUGUUGUUCGGAGUUUGCUCUCCUAGGUGAACUGCCUACCACGGCUAACGAGCUCCACCUGCCCGGGUUUGUUGUUCGGAGUUUGCUCUCCUAGGUGAACUGCCUACCACGGCUAACGAGCUCCACCUGCCCGGGUUUGUUGUUCGGAGUUUGCUCUCCUAGGUGAACUGCCUACCACGGCUAACGAGCUCCACCUGCCCGGGUUUGUUUAGAGUUUGCUCUCCUAGGUGAACUGCCUACCACGGCUAACGAGCUCCACCUGCCCGGGUUUGUUGUUCGGAGUUUGCUCUCCUAGGUGAACUGCCUACCACGGCUAACGAGCUCCACCUGCCCGGGUUUGUUGUUCGGAGUUUGCUCUCCUAGGUGAACUGCCUACCACGGCUAACGAGCUCCACCUGCCCGGGUUUGUUUAGAGUUUGCUCUCCUAGGCAGAUUGCCU
Long non-coding RNA from Eriocheir sinensis (Chinese mitten crab), 941 nucleotides. RefSeq lists it as uncharacterized. Lineage: Eukaryota; Metazoa; Arthropoda; Malacostraca; Decapoda; Varunidae. The transcript has 5 exons. The record is from RefSeq and is a predicted model, not a curated record.